This 478-nucleotide ribosomal RNA is filed under the name uncultured bacterium. Its description in RNAcentral is "partial 16S ribosomal RNA". It matches the Rfam family "Bacterial small subunit ribosomal RNA", at positions 28 to 523 of the family's 1533-position model. The record is from RNAcentral.
GACGAACGCUGGCGGCGUGCUCAACACAUGCAAGUCGAACGGUAAGGCCCUUCGGGGUACACGAGUGGCGAACGGGUGAGUAACACGUGGGUGAUCUGCCCUGCACUUCGGGAUAAGCCUGGGAAACUGGGUCUAAUACCGGAUAGGACCACUGCCUGCAUGGGUGGUGGUGGAAAGCUUUUGCGGGGUGGGAUGGGCCCGCGGCCUAUCAGCUUGUUGGUGGGGUGAUGGCCUACCAAGGCGACGACGGGUAGCCGGCCUGAGAGGGUGACCGGCCACGCUGUGACUGAGAUACGGCCCAGACUCCUACGGGAGGCAGCAGUGGGGAAUAUUGCACAAUGGGCGCAAGCCUGAUGCAGCGACGCCGCGUGAGGGAUGACUGCCUUCGGGUUGUAAACCUCUUUCAGCACCGACGAAGCGCAAGUGACGGUAGGUGCAGAAGAAGGACCGGCCAACUACGUGCCAGCAGCCGCGGUAA